Molecule: ribosomal RNA, 301 nt
Filed under: uncultured archaeon
Lineage: Archaea
Description: bacterial SSU rRNA
Rfam family: Archaeal small subunit ribosomal RNA
Source: RNAcentral
ACGGGGUGCAGCAGGCGCGAAACCUCCGCAAUGUGAGAAAUCGCGACGGGGGGAUCCCAAGUGCCAUUCUUAACGGGAUGGCUUUUCAUUAGUGUAAAAAGCUUUUGGAAUAAGAGCUGGGCAAGACCGGUGCCAGCCGCCGCGGUAACACCGGCAGCUCUAGUGGUAGCAAUUUUUAUUGGGCCUAAAGCGUCCGUAGCCGGUUUAAUAAGUCUCUGGUGAAAUCCUGUAGCUUAACUGUGGGAAUUGCUGGAGAUACUAUUAGACUUGAGACCGGGAGAGGUUAGAGGUACUCCCAGGG